RNAcentral lists this ribosomal RNA (3092 nucleotides) under Berberis thunbergii. RNAcentral describes it as "eukaryotic LSU rRNA". The stretch from base 359 to 3092 matches the Rfam family "Eukaryotic large subunit ribosomal RNA". Lineage: Eukaryota; Viridiplantae; Streptophyta; Magnoliopsida; Ranunculales; Berberidaceae. The record is from RNAcentral.
UAUACUAUAGGAAAUGGAUACUCGGCUCUCGCAUCGAUAAAGAAUGUUAAUUGCACAAUCUCGUGAACCAUCGAGUUUUUGCUCGCUAGUUGCGCCUAAGGCAACUAGGCUGAGGGCACGUCUGCCUGGGCGUCACUCACAGCGUCACGCUCAACACAAGGAAUGUUUAUGUGUUGAUGAGCGGAAGUUGGCCCCCUGAGCUAUCUCAGCUCGGUAGGCCUAAAUGAUGACCUUGAGCGAUGGGCAUCAUGAUCUAAGGCGGUUUAGAACCCCUUUCAUCGUUGACCGACGUCGUGUUUGCCUCGUUGACCGCUCGAGCUGUACAAACCCUGGUGUGUUUCAUCUAACACUCACCUUGCGACCCCAGGUUAGGCGAGACUACAUGUUGAGUUUAAGCAUAUCAAUAAGCGGAGGAGAAUAAACUUACAAGGAUUCCCGAAGUAAAGGCGAGCGAACUGGGAUCAACCCAGCUUGAGAAUUGGGCGGCUUUGUCUUCCGAAUUGUUGUUUGUAGAAGUGUCCUCAACGACGGACCGGUCCCAAGUUCCCUGAAAGGGGCGCAAGAGAGGGUGAGAUCCCCGUCGUGUCCGGACCCUUUCACACCACGAGGAGUUGUCGGGGAGUCAGGUUGUUUGGGAAUGCAGCUCGAAUUGGGCGGUAAAUUCUGUCCAAGGCUAAAUACUAGCGAGAGACCGAUAGCGAACAAGUACCGUGAGGGAAAGAUGAAAAGGACUUUGAAAAGAGAGUCAAAGAGUGCUUGAAAUUGUCGGGAGGGAAGCAGAUGGGGGCUGGCGAUGCGCCUAGGUCGGAUGCUAAAUGGUGUGAGCCGGUUCGCCACUCGACUCUGGACGUGGAUCGAUGUGGAUUAUGAUGGUGGCCCAAGCCCGAUCCGUUUACGUGCUUGAUGAUACGUCAUUGUCAUGAUUGUGGUGGGCAAAGUGUGCCUUCGGCGUGCUUAUGACAACUGCGCGCUCCCGGCAGCGGCCUGUGGGCUCCCCAUUCGGUCCGUCUUGAAACACGGACCAAGGAUGGUGGUCAUGGAAGUCAAAAUCCGCUAAGGAGUGUGUAAUGACUCACCUGCCGAAUAACCUAGCCCCAAAAAUGGAUGACGCUUAAGCGCGUGACCCACACCCGGCCAUUGGGGCAAUUGUCAAGCCCUAAUGAGUAGGAGGGCACGACAGUAGCUGCAAAACCUGGGGCGUGAGCUUCCGUUGGUGCAAAUCUUGGUGGUAGUAGCAAAUAUUCAAAUGAGAACUUUGAAGGCCGUAGAGGGGAAAGGUUCCAUGUGAACAACACUUGCACAUGGGUUAGUCGAUGCUAAGAUUCGAGGUAAACCCGUCAGAGAGCGCAAAAUGCGUGAACUUCAAAAUUGAAUCGGAUUAAAAUUCCUGAACCGGGACGCGGCGGUUGACGACAACAUUAGGAAGUCUGGAGAUGUUGCCGGGGGCCUCAGAAAGAGUUAUCUUUUUAGUUCAACAACUUGCCAAUCCUAAAAACGGCUCUGCCGGAGGUAGGGUCGAGUGGUUGGAAGAGCAUCGCACGUCACAUGGUGUCUAGUGCGCCCCGACGGCCCUUGAAAAUUCAAAGGACCGAGUGUCGAUCGCGCCCGAUCGUACUCCUAACCGCGUCAGGUCUCCAAGGUGAACAACCUCUGGUUGAUGGAAGAAUGUUGGCAAGGGAAGUUGGCAAAAUGGAUCUGUAACCUCGGGAAAAGGAUUGGCUCUGAGGACUGGGCUCGAGGGUCCCUGUCCUGAACCCGUCGGUUGUUGGUGGACUGCUCGAGCUGCUUCUGCCGCGAGAGCGAGUCAUUGCGUGCUGACUGGGGGAUGGACUGGGAAUGGUCCCUUUGAGGGCCUUCCCUGGGUGUCGAACAAUCGACUUAGAACUGGUACAGACAAUGGGAAUCCGACUAUUUAAUUAAAAUAAUGAAUUGCGAUGGUCCUUACGGAUGCUAAAGCAAUGCGAUUUCUUCCCAGUGCUCUGAAUGUCAUAGUGAAGAAAUUCAACCAAGCGCGGGUAAACGACGGGAGUAAUUAUGACUCUCUUAAGGUAGCCAAAUGCCUUGUCAUCUAAUUAGUGACGCGUGAAUGGAUUAAUGAGAUUCCCACUGUCCCUGUUGACUAUCUAGCGAAACCACAGGCAAGGGAACAGGCGUGGCAGAAUCAGCGAGAAAAAAGACCCUAUUGAGCUUGACUCUAGUCCGAUUUUGUGAAAUGACUUGAGAGGUGUAGGAUAAGUGAGAGGCGCUUGCGUUGAAAGUGAAAUAUCACUACUUUUAACAUUAUUUUACUUAUUCAGUGAGUCAAAAGCGGAGCACUGCCCUUUUUUUGGAUCCAAGGGUCGUGUCGGCGGCCUGGUUCUGCGGAAGACAUUGUCAAGUGGGGAGUUUGGCUAGGGCGGCACAUCUAUUAAAAGAUAAUGUAGGUGACCUAAGAUGAGCUCAACGAGAACAAAAAUCUCAUGUGGAACAGAAGGGUAAAAGCUCAUUAGAUUCUGAUUUCCAGAACGAAUACGAACCGUGAAAGCGUGGCCUAUCGAUCCUUUAGACCUUCGGAAUUUUGAAGCUGGAGGUGUCAUAAAAUUUACCAUAGGAUAAACUGGCUUGUGGCAGCCAAGCGUUCAUAGCGAAGUUGCUUUUUGAUCUUUCAAUGUCAGCUCUUCCUAUCAUUGUGAAACGGAAUUCACCAAGUGUUGGAUUGUUCACCCACCAAUAGGGAACGUGAGCUGGGUUUAGAUCGUCGUGAGACAUGUUAGUUUUACCCUACUGAUGAUAGUGUCGCGAUAGUAAUUCAACCUAGUAAGAGAGGAACCGUUGAUUCACACAAUUGGUCAUCGCGCUUGGUUGAAAAGCCAGUGGCGCGAAGCUACCAUGUGCAGGAUUACGACUGGACGCCUCUAAGUCAGAAUCUAAGCUAGACAAGUGGCACAUACGCCCGUCGCCCGAUUGGUGACCUGCAGUAGGGAUCUUUAAGUUCCCAAAGGCACGUGUCAUUGGUAAAGCUCCGCGAUGGAUGAGUUGCGAGGGUAGCCUUGAAGUAAAAUUUCCACCGAGUCGUUGGUAGAAUCUUUUGCAGACGACUUAAAUACGCGACG